Symphalangus syndactylus (siamang) is the source of this 3070-nucleotide long non-coding RNA. RefSeq lists it as uncharacterized. The record is from RefSeq and is a predicted model, not a curated record. Lineage: Eukaryota; Metazoa; Chordata; Mammalia; Primates; Hylobatidae.
GGGCCGCUGCGCAACCGCACUGGAGCGGCUUCUCGCGCUGCCGUCUUCGCGCAGGUGCGUCGCCCUCUCUCCACGUCCACGGCGCCGAGUCUCGCCGCGGUGGCGCAGGCGCCAGGAAGGUUCCCCGGCUUUGCUGCGCGGAGGAAGUCCCGGUUACGCAGAGCGCGCUGGGGCAGGGCUGACCUUCCCCUUUCUCUACUUGACUGGCGUCCUCCAGACGUGGUGGUUGCGCCCUUUCGGCCUCGCUUUCCGUUUCUUGGCUUCAUCCCCUAGAUCUGCAAACAGUUCUUCGUGUUUCUUCCGUUAGCCGGGAAACGCGAAGUGCAGCGUUUGGAACCCGGGUUUGCGCGUGUGGAAAGCAAGAAGCGGGUUACUCUGCUGGAGUUCGACAUUGCAAAUAAAGGUCUUUAUCCUCAGCGGUUCUACAAAAUUAGUUCCGCAGGGAUACUGGUUGAAAGAAGCGUUGAAGUGGGCCCUGUAGGAGUCAGCAAUAAUACAAUUUUAUAUGGGUGCAGAUGGCUCCCUGUGUCUAGCGCUUUCACACAUCUCAUAUCUCCAUCCACGCCGUGGGUAUCUUUUUUCCACGGUGUGUUUCUGUUGCUGCCUCCAGUGUAUUGCUUCAUCACCCUACCUGGUAAUUAUGCAUUUUUCUCCUAUUCUCGACUCAGCUCCUAGGGGAUAAAAACACACUAACUUAUCUUUUUGCCCACAGCACCCACCAAGUAUUUCCAUCACGUAAUACUGCCUCUAGAAAGGCAGGAGGAGAAGCAGUCACGCUAAGGAUCUAGGCAAGCCAGAUCUUUUGUCCUGUUUUAGGAGGUGGCCAGCCCUUACUUAUUCCACAAGUGUUUUUCCAGAAACUCAGACUUGUUAUUGCCCCAAGUCCAAGGCAGUGUGCUUCUCCCACUCACAUAUCACUAAUAGUAGCUAACAUUUGUUCAGAUCCCUGUAUGUACUCUGCCACUGUUUUAAAUGUUACACCCGCGUUACCUCAUUUAAUCCUUACAACUGCCCUGUGAGGUAGGUAUAAUUAUUAUCUCUACUUUGUAGAUGGGAUUCACCGAGGCACAGAUGGUUAAAAAACCUAGCCCAAAUCACACAAAUAAGCAGCAGAGCUGGGAUUCAAACCCAGGUAUGUAGUGCUAGAGUCUGCAUUCUUAACAAUUGCUAUAUUCUCCCUCUCCGUGAAUGUGGGCUGAGAUGCUGAAACAGGCAUGUGCUGUGGGGGAGAAAAAGCUUUGUCCAACCAAGUGCUUUCUAAUGUCCAGAUGACAUAGAGCUAGGAUUUCCUAAUGCCUUUUUUCGCCUAUUUUUCUCUCCAUUUCAGGAUUGAGUUUGUGCACCGAUUGUGAACACAACAGGCAGCAAGCUAUAGUGGUGGUCCUGGCUGGAGUAGUUUUCACAGACUGCAGUAAUCUGUGGAGAUGAACUGGCAGUUCUCUGUAGUUUUCACAGAUCACUGCCAGUUCGUUUUGAGGCCUUCAGGAGUGAAGACCUGGCUCAUCAUUACUCUUUGUUGUUUUGUUAAAGUUAUUUACACCCUACUUUAUUCCAGAGGAAAGGAUUUAACGUAGUUUACAUAAAUGUGUACAGCAGGGUAAAUUAAAAAUAAGUACAGAGAAAAAUAGGACAAAAGAAAACCGUGAGUGUGAAAGAUAAGAUUAAGCCAGCAGUUUUGUAUGCAAAAUGCAUGGUGUAAGGUCCUAUUGGUUUGCUGGAGGUAGGCCACACAUAUGACUGUCAGUUUGCUAGCAACCAAGAAAAAGAUCAGUUGCAAGUGGAGUAGGUGUUUUGGCUAAGCUGGAACUAGGACUUGAAUAUAGCAGCUUGUAGAGUUACGCCACUUGCCCAAAUCUCUUCCAUGAGCCUCUUUAAGUGUAACAGAAUGCUUGGGAGCACGUAAAUAGGUGCCUACUUAGCCUCUAAUUUUCAUGGGGCCCAUGAAUCCCAUGAAAAAGAACUUCAAACCCUGUCCACAAUUAGAGUUCAAGUAUAUGCAGACAUGUUUAAAGGACAAGGGACACCCAAAGGAAAGAUUGCACAGAGAGAAAGCGAGCAUCCGAGAGAAAAUCACCACAAGUGAGGCAGAGGGAGGCCGGUCUCAGCAGAGUUUUGGAGGUCGUGAGAAGAAGAGGUAGGAGAUAGGAGAGUGGUUCUGAGUACUUGCCUGCUGAUGUUACCUUCUCCACCCCCACCAGGUUUUCCAGUGCCUAGAGUCUUGGGCAGGAAUGGGCCACUGUAAGAAAGAGCUUUAUCACUAGGGGCUCAGCCAACUUUUCUGUGGGAUGUCCCUCCAAAAUAAUUAAGAGUUCAGAAUGCUUCAGAUUUUGAAGUGAAACUGGUACAUAUAUUAAGUGUUACUUAAUAACCCGAUAGUUUCUAAGGCAGCUCACCAUAAUCCCAAACAUUAGCCACCACCCUCACCCCCUUCAGAGUAAAAUGUGUUUACUGAAAGAAGUUGGGAAAAUGAAGAAAAAAAAUAUAAAAAUCACCUGUAAUCUUACCAGUCAUAGAUGGCAGUUUUCCUGCCUUAUUUCUGAAUAAUGGUUGUUAAACAUUUACCAGCACACCAUAAGGCUUAGGGAGGCAUCUGGGUCAUGCAUGUUAAUAUCCUUGGGUAAUUCUAGAAAUGUCUAUGAAGGGAAACUCCUGUUCUUUAUCUAGAUUUCCUGAUUGCAAGGGGUUUGGGCAUCAUGAUUUAGGGGUCUUAAUAAAAUUAUUAUUUAAUUUUUUACUAAUAGGUAAUGUCUGUGCCUAUCAGAUAAAGGCAAACCAGUGUUCAGAGGAACCCAACCAUCUCUGUAUUGAGACCAGAGAGCUGUCUCUAUGUAUUGUCCUUAAAGAAGGCAUUUUGGAACACAGUAAACAGCAGCCUGGUGACUCCGAUUACAGGACCAGUUGCCUUUGUUACAAUAAAAGCAAGUCAUCUACACAGGUAAGAAUGUUUCUCUUUUAUUGCUUCCCCCCGCCCCCAUCCUGCUCACUGAAACGGAUACCAGGAAAAACUGUUUGGUGAAGGAAAGUAUACAAUAUGUGAAUAUUUGUUUCAAAUAAAACAGUGUACUGUAAA